Long non-coding RNA from Canis lupus familiaris (dog), 4280 nucleotides. RefSeq lists it as uncharacterized. The transcript is spliced from 2 exons. The record is from RefSeq and is a predicted model, not a curated record. NCBI's taxonomy places the organism in Eukaryota, Metazoa, Chordata, Mammalia, Carnivora, Canidae.
GGGCUCUACCUCGAGAUCCUGAGAUCAUACCUGGGCUGAAAUCAAGAGUCUGGCACUUAACAGACUGAGCCACCCAGGCGCCCCCACAUUUGCUUUCGAAAGCCUGCAGUGAGCAGGGGGUUGGGCCUGUACAUGUCUGAUGUCCUUUAGGACACACCUGUGGGACACUAGGCGUUGUGAGCAGUAUCUGUGGUUGUUUCCAUAAUUCUGCAUCCCGCUUUGGGCAUCCCUGUUGGUUUGUAGCUCUGGAAUAUUGGGUCGUUCUCAGGAGAGCCUCUGGAGGCCUGUAACCACAUGCCUGUAGGUAGCAGUGACAUGGCUUCAUCUUGCCUUGUCAGAUUAUAUGGGAGACAAAUCUUGGUGGUGGAGAGUACAGUCUUGGAAUCAUACCAACUAGACUUAGAUGCUGGGUUCUGCUCCUGGGAAAGUGCAUGACCUUGGGCAAUUUACAUCAGCUCUCAAGGUGCCGGUUUUCUUACAUGUAAAACAGGAAUAAUAAUAUUACAUCAUAGGGCUGAGAUGAGAAGAGGUGAGACAAUGUGUAUGAAGCUCUUAGCACAUUCCCUGGCAUGAAAGAAAGUGUUCAGGAAGUGAUGGCUAUGUUUUUUACUCUUGUAGACAAACUAACAGGAGACUCAAACUGUAAUGCAGCAUGUUUGGAGGAAUCAUUGGAGACAUUGGUGUCUAUUUGGAAUAAACUGUUUUAGUCAAGAUUCUUAUGCUUGCAAAGAAACAAAGCCUGUUGGAGCUAGCUCUGGUCAGAAGAGGUGUGAAUGAGAGUUUAUAGAAGAAUCUCACAGGACAAAGAUGAACGGUCAAGUCAGGCUCACAGGGGUUGCUGGGGGCUGGGACCCACAACAGGGGUAGGUCUCUGUUCCUCAGUCCCUAUGUGGCCUUCUGCUCUGUGCUUCUGCCCAUACUUCUGCACUCUCUUCCUCUCUCUUGGCCAGAUUCCUUUGCUUACUCAUCUUGCAUGUGGCUCCAGUGGCUUCCUAGCCACCAUUGAUUGCAACAGACUUGUGUGUUUUAACACACAAUGUAUGAGAGAAAUUGGACUGGCCCACUUUGUUUGAGCCCGGCCACAUGAGUCACCAGCCAUGGCCCAGCCAGUCGACUGGCUUUUCUUUUGGUCAGCUGUUAACCUGUGAUCCAAUCAGUCAUGGCCUGUGCAGUUAAGAUCUCGUGGAAAGUUAAAGCUGCCUCUGUCAGACAGUGAGCAGAACAGGUUUUCUAGAAAAGAGUAGGAAUAUCUAGUACAGUCCGCCUGAGAGCUGUCAUCUCUACUAUUCGCAGUCUUGCUAACUGAGUCCCAUGGAGGAGAGCUCAACCACAGAGAAAUUGGAAAGACCCAAACACUGGUGGUCCCUCCUCCUCUCUCCCUAAACAGGGCUGGUGUCAAGAGGGUUGCACAAUGAAAAAAAAAUCUCUCCAUCUGUGCCUUCCAAGGUAGUAGGUCAGAAUGGGAGGGACUGUGCUGGCUUUUUCCAUGUACAGGGAGGAGCAAGGAAAAGCCUAGAAGUAGUGGUGGAGGCAGGUUGGGGUGGAUAAGGGGGCUGAGUCGGAGUGGACGGGUGGGCUGAGGAGCUGUGACCCCUCUGGAGAGGGCAGAGGAAGGGCGGGUGCGGAGGGCCUUGGGGCUCAGGGAAAUGGCUGACCCAACGGAGAGGAGGCCCUCUAAAUUCCUCUGGCCCCGAGCCCCGGGGGCCUGGCUUUUCUCUCAGUGCUGGCAAGGGAGGUGCCUGUUUAUCUGAGGGGCUGCUUACUGCAGGCUGCAGCUGUGCUGGACCCUCCCCUGGGGCGCCGAAUUCUCCGGAGACAAUUGGACCAGGACAGCAGAGAGUCAAGCGAAAUGAAGAAGCAGAGAAAUAUAUUCCAAAUGAAAAAACAAGAUAAAAGCUUAGAAAAAACCUUAGUGAAUGGAGAUCAGUAAAAUACCUGAUAAAGAGUUCAAGUAAUGGCCAUAAAGAUACUGAAUUGGGGAGAAAAAUGAAUGAGCACAGUGAGAACUUCAACAAAGAGGUGGAAGGUGUAAGAAAGUACCAAUUAGGAGUUAUGGAGCUAAAGAAUAUAAUAACUAAACUGAAGACGACAUUAUGGGGUUCAAUAGCAGACUUGAUGAAGCAGGAAAAAAAGAUCAGUCAGCUUGAAGACAAGGCAGUGGAACUCACCCAAUUAGAGCAACAAAAAGAAACAAAGAAUUAAAAAAAAGUGAAGAUAGUAUAAAGGGAUUAUGGGACAACAUCAAAUGGAUUAACAUUUGCAAUUUGGGGCUUCCAGAUGGAGAAGAAAGAGAGAAAAAGGCAGAAUUCUUAUUUGAAGAAAUAAUGGCUGAAAACUUUCUUAACUUCAGGAAGGAAGCACACACCCAGAUCCAGCAAGCCUAGAAACUUCCAAAUAGGAAGAACCCAAAGAUACCCACACCAAGACACAUUAAAAUAUCAAAAUUUAAAGACAAAUAUAUUAAAAGCAGGAAGAAAAAAAAACCCAAAACUUGUUUUGUUACGUACAAUGAUAUGGGAACCCCCAUAAGACCACGAGCAGAUUUUUCAGUACACACUUUUCAGGCCAGAAGGCAGUGGCACAAUAUAUUCAAAGUGCUGAAAGAACAAAAUUCCCAACCAAGAAUAUUCUACCUACAUUCAGAAUUGAAGGAAAGAAAAAGCUUUUUAGACAAGCAAAAGCUAAAGAAGUUGAUCACCACUAAGCCAUCCUUACAAGAAAUAUUAAAGGGACCUCUUUAAGCUGAAUAAAGGGCACUAAUUAGUAAUAAGAAUAUAUAUGAAAGAAGAUUAAAUCUCACUGGAAAAGUAAAGGUAGUAGUAAAGAUCAUGGGUUAAAUACUUAUAAAGUUAGUAUGAAGGUUAAAAGACAAAAGUAGGAAAAAUACCUAUGACUUCAAUUAUUAACUAAGGGAUACACGGGCUCAAAAGAUGUAAAACAUGACAUCAAAAACAUAAAACAUGGAAGGAGAGUAAAAAUAGUGAGCUUUAGAAUGAGAUCAAACUUAGGUUGUUUUCAACUUACAAUAAAUUUAUAGAUAUAAAUUGUAAUGUGGAAGCCUCAUGGUAACCACAAGGCAAAAACCUAUAGUAAAUAUACAAAUAAUAAAGAGAACAGAAUGUAACUGUACCACUAAUGAAAAUCUUCAAACUGUAAAGGGAGAUAGCAAGAAAAGAAGAAAGAGAGGAACUAUAAAAACAUCCAGAAAACAACUAAAUGACAAUAAGCACAUAUUUACUGAUGAUAAUUUUAAGUGUAAAAGGACCAAAUUCUCCAAUCAAAAGGUAUACAGUGCCUGGAAAGAUAAAAACACAAUACCUAUCUAUACGCUGCCUGUAAGAGAUACACUUUAGAUGUAAGGCCACACAGACUGAGAGUGAAACUGGAAAAGAUAAUUCAUGCAAAUAGAAAUGAAAAGAAAGUUGAAGUAGCUAUAUUUAUACCAGACAAAAUAGACUUUAAAACAAAAACUAAAAUAAAAGAAACAUUAUUAAAAGACAAAGGGGUCCAUUCAACAAGAGGAUAUAACAUUUGUAAAUAUUUAUGCAUCCAACAUAGGAGCACCUAAAUAUAUGACCCAGAUAUUAACAGCCUUAAAGGAAGAAAUAAAUAGUAAUACAGUAAUAGUAGGGGACUUUAAUACCACUAUCAAUGGAUGGAUUAUCUAGACAGAAAAAUCAAUAAAAAAAUAUUGACCUUACAUGACAUGUUAGACCAAAUGGACUUAGAUAUUUACAGAACAUUUCAUCCAAAAGCAACACAACACAUAGUCUUCUCAAGUAUACCUGGAACAUUUUCCAAGAUAGAGCAUAUGUUAAGCCACAAAACAAGUCAUACUACAUUUAAAAAGGGUUGAAAUCAUAUCAAGUAUUUUUUCCAACCACAGUGAUAUGAAACUAGAAAUUAAUCGCAUAAAGAAAACUGGAAAAUUAAAAAAUACAUUGGGACAAACAGAAGUGGAAAUGUAACAUGCCAAAAUUUAUGGGAUGCAGUAAAAGUAAUUCUAAGAAAGAAGUUCAUAGUGAUAAAUGCCUACCUCAAGAAACAAGGACAGUCUCAAAUAAACACCUAACUUUAUACCUCAAGUAAUUAGAAAAAGAACAAAUGAAGCCCAAAGUUAGUAGAAGGAAGAAAAUAAUAAAGAUUAGAGCAGAAAACAUGAAACAGACUAUAGGACAACAGAAAAGAUCAAUGAAAGUAAGAGCUUAUUCUUUGAAAAGAUAAAUAAAAUUGACAAAACUUCAGUUAGAUUCACCAAAAAAAAAAAAAAAAAAAAAAAA